This is a long non-coding RNA of Ananas comosus (pineapple), 442 nucleotides long. RefSeq lists it as uncharacterized. The transcript has 2 exons. Lineage: Eukaryota; Viridiplantae; Streptophyta; Magnoliopsida; Poales; Bromeliaceae. The record is from RefSeq and is a predicted model, not a curated record.
CGACAUCGUAAAAUCAUGGAAAUGGAUUUGAGGCACCGUGGCACAUAACCGAAGACCUAUAAUUUCCGGGGCUGUGAAGCGGAGCUCGGUUGUGGCGCAGUUGCAAUAUUGGGCCGUGCCGGAUACGGGUGCCGCGGGAGGCCGAUUACAAGUGUCGACAAGCAAUCGGAACGCGAGUUAAGGUUUGCACGUGAGUGGCGCGGCGGCGCGAGGCAAGGGCGUAGCUCCGUAGAUAGCGCCCUACCCAGAGACCAGAGAUAGUGGUACCCCGAGUCGGCAUAGCCUAGGGGUAGAGGGAAAUGAAAGAAUAAGAUGUAUCAAGUGUGUAAUAAAUUGUAAUAACUCAGAUUGUAUGUUGGAGAGAAAGUGUAAUUGUGAUGUAAGCAAAUGUAUCAAUGUGAAUGCUUGUAAUAACAUAGGAUGUGUUUAUGUUGUUGAUACC